CAUGGCUGUCGUCAGCUCGUGUCGUGAGAUGUUCGGUUAAGUCCGCUAACGAGCGCAACCCUCGUCGUAUGUUAUAUGUGUCAUACGAGACUGCCGGUAAAAGCCGGAGGAAGGUGAGGAUGAUGUCAAGUCAGCAUGACCUUUAUAUCCAGGGCUACACACACGCUACAAUGGUCUGUACAAUGGGUAGCCAAGCCGCGAGGCGGAGCCAAUCCUGAAAGCAGGCCUCAGUUCAGAUUGCAGUCUGCAACUCGACUGCAUGAAGCCGGAGUUGCUAGUAACCGCAGGUCAGCAAUACUGCGGUGAAUACGUUCCCGGGUCUU
RNAcentral lists this ribosomal RNA (323 nucleotides) under uncultured Anaerolineaceae bacterium. RNAcentral's name for it is "bacterial SSU rRNA". It matches the Rfam family "Bacterial small subunit ribosomal RNA", at positions 1044 to 1382 of the family's 1533-position model. Lineage: Bacteria; Bacillati; Chloroflexota; Anaerolineae; Anaerolineales; Anaerolineaceae. The record is from RNAcentral.